AACUCUACCAUCCUCGCCCUUGAUACACCUAACUUGGUCUAGAUCACGUGCCUUCCUUUCCCUUGCUUUAGCUAACCGGAAUAACUUCUUAUCCCUGCCUCUCUCCCCUAGUUCCUCGUACAUGCGACCGAACGUCGCGUUUUUAGCUUCCGUGAGUGCCAUCUUUGCUUCUUUCCUCGCCACCUUGUAGAUCACCCUGUUCGCUUUCCGUUCUUCCUCGCUUGUGCUCCGUACCAACCUAGCGAACGCCGCCUUCUUCACCUCCACUUUUCCUUUGACUACAUCGUUCCACCACCAAUCACCCUGAUGCCUGCCUGAAUAUCCCUUGGCUACCCCGAGCACGUCCCGUGCUACCCCCCUAACCAAGUUCGCCUUUACUGUCCAC
Molecule: long non-coding RNA, 385 nt
Filed under: Nicotiana benthamiana
Lineage: Eukaryota; Viridiplantae; Streptophyta; Magnoliopsida; Solanales; Solanaceae
Description: long non-coding RNA (NBEN_LNC007826)
Source: RNAcentral